CGGAGCUGGAACUCAGGAUGGAACUCAGGAUGGGACUGAAACUGGAGCAGGCCCAGGUGUGCAGCGUCCCGCAGGGUCUCAGCCAGGCACAGAUUCUGCUGGAGACCUGCCCCUGGAGCCAGAGAAAUCUUGGAUAAGACACACCCAUCUCUUCUGCCUCAGGAACUGAGACUUUGAUGAGACUUUGUUUGCAUUGUAGGCACAGAUUCAGCUGGAGACUUGCCCCUGGAGCCAGAGAAAUCUUGGAUAAGACACACCCAUCUCUUCUGCCUCAGGAACUGAGACUUUGAUGAGACUUUGAUUCCAUUUGUAGGCACAGAUUCAGCUGGAGACCUGCCCCUGGAGCCAGAGAAAUCUUGGAUAAGACACACCCAUCUCUUCUGCCUCGGGAACUGAGACUUUGAUGAGACUUUGAUUCCAUUUGUAGGCACAGAUUCAGCUGGAGACCUGCCCCUGGAGCCAGAGAAAUCUUGGAUAAGACACACCCAUCUCUUCUGCCUCAGGAACUGACUGAGAUUUUGAUGAGGCUUUGAUUCCAUUCCUAGGCACACAUUCAGCUGGAGACCUGCCCCUGGAGCCAGAGCAAUUUGCUGCUGCACAUCAGGAUCUGUAUGACAAGCUGACUCAGCAAGAAACGUUCCUAGAAGUGGUUCCAAUGCAAGACUAGGACCAGAACCAGGCCCUAGCUUAGCUUUUCACCUCAAAAGUAGGUUGAAAAUGUAGACCAGGAUCUGUAUAACAAGCUGACUCAGCAAGAAACGUUCCUAGAAGUGGUUCCAAUGCUAGACAG
Molecule: long non-coding RNA, 790 nt
Filed under: Pan troglodytes (chimpanzee)
Lineage: Eukaryota; Metazoa; Chordata; Mammalia; Primates; Hominidae
Description: lincRNA
Source: RNAcentral